This 107-nucleotide ribosomal RNA is filed under the name Pogona vitticeps (central bearded dragon). The record is from RNAcentral. Lineage: Eukaryota; Metazoa; Chordata; Lepidosauria; Squamata; Agamidae.
CUUACUACCCUGAGCACACGUUUUUUCAUGUGAUUUCAGAAACUAAAUAGGGUCAGGCCUGGUUAGUGCUUGGAUGGGAGAUCACCAGAGAAACCAUAAGCCUAAGC